This 618-nucleotide ribosomal RNA is filed under the name uncultured bacterium. RNAcentral's name for it is "bacterial SSU rRNA". The stretch from base 1 to 520 matches the Rfam family "Bacterial small subunit ribosomal RNA", at positions 338 to 873 of the family's 1533-position model. The record is from RNAcentral.
CCUACGGGAGGCAGCAGUGGGGAAUAUUGGGCAAUGGAGGAAACUCUGACCCAGCGACGCCGCGUGCGGGAUGAAGGCCUUCGGGUUGUAAACCGCUUUCAGCAGGGAAGAAGCGAAAGUGACGGUACCUGCAGAAGAAGCACCGGCUAACUAUGUGCCAGCAGCCGCGGUAAUACAUAGGGUGCAAGCGUUGUCCGGAAUUAUUGGGCGUAAAGAGCUCGUAGGUGGUUCGUCACGUCGGAUGUGAAAAUCUGGGGCUUAACCCCAGACCUGCAUUCGAUACGGGCGAGCUUGAGUAUGGUAGGGGAGUCUGGAAUUCCUGGUGUAGCGGUGGAAUGCGCAGAUAUCAGGAGGAACACCAAUGGCGAAGGCAGGACUCUGGGCCAUUACUGACACUGAGGAGCGAAAGCGUGGGGAGCGAACAGGAUUAGAUACCCUGGUAGUCCACGCCGUAAACGGUGGGCACUAGUUGUGGGGACCUUCCACGGUCUCUGCGACGCNGCUACGCAUAGUGCCCGCCGUCGGGAGGUACGAGUCGCGAGAAGUUAAACGUUAACGUAAAGUUAAAGUUAGUACGGUUCGUUGAGACGNGCCGACGGACGACGACGAGGGAGGAGG